This 253-nucleotide ribosomal RNA is filed under the name uncultured bacterium. RNAcentral's name for it is "partial 16S ribosomal RNA". It matches the Rfam family "Bacterial small subunit ribosomal RNA", at positions 524 to 776 of the family's 1533-position model. The record is from RNAcentral.
UACGUAGGGGGCAAGCGUUGUCCGGAAUCAUUGGGCGUAAAGAGCGUGUAGGCGGUUCGGCAAGUCCGUUGUAAAAGUCCAGGGCUCAAUCCUGGAAAGCCGGUGGAAACUGUCGAGCUAGAGUCCGGAAGAGGCGAGUGGAAUUCCUGGUGUAGCGGUGAAAUGCGCAGAUAUCAGGAGGAACACCAAUGGCGAAGGCAGCUCGCUGGGACGGUACUGACGCUGAGACGCGAAAGCGUGGGGAGCAAACAGG